AUUUAGUUUAAUUAAAAUGUGGGUUUUGUAAUCCUAAGAUAACAUUUAUUUGUUGUUAACCA
This 62-nucleotide transfer RNA is filed under the name Fimbriaria fasciolaris. Its description in RNAcentral is "tRNA-Thr". Lineage: Eukaryota; Metazoa; Platyhelminthes; Cestoda; Cyclophyllidea; Hymenolepididae. The record is from RNAcentral.